This is a long non-coding RNA of Symphalangus syndactylus (siamang), 533 nucleotides long. RefSeq lists it as uncharacterized. The record is from RefSeq and is a predicted model, not a curated record. Lineage: Eukaryota; Metazoa; Chordata; Mammalia; Primates; Hylobatidae.
GUGCAUAACUCAUGAUGGAUCAACCCUCAAAGUCAACCUGGCCAACCCUCAAGUUCUAAAGCCCAGUUCUUAGUGAUGGAGAAAGCAGGUGAAUUUGAAACAGAGUGGGGACAUAAUACUCUCAACUUGAGAAUGAUUCAUGCUGGCAACAGUUUGGAGGAUGGAUUGGUGAAGAAGAAGCUAGAGUGUGUAAUCUCAUGUGCUGGAAACGUCCUUGCUCCACCAGCCGGAGGCCAGGAAGCGAGCACCAAACGCUGUUUGCAGGACAGCUCUUAUUUCAGGAAUGAAGACUAAGGCUCAGCAGGUAGGAGGCCUUGAGAACUAGCACCGAAUUUCCAAGAGGCCCACGCUGCCAUGGAGCUGCGGAGUGCUUGGCUCAGGGAACUCAUUGGAUAAUGAGACAAGAGACAGUUGCGAUAUUGGAAUAAACCCAUCCAAACUCAUCUACAUUAACAGGGGCACCAGCUUACUAUGCUGGGGAAGAUUUGAAGAUCAAGCGUUAGACAGAACUGAGUUGAAAUCUUAGAUACAUG